RNAcentral lists this ribosomal RNA (1839 nucleotides) under Thermoplasmata archaeon. RNAcentral's name for it is "bacterial LSU rRNA". It matches the Rfam family "Archaeal large subunit ribosomal RNA", at positions 19 to 1927 of the family's 2987-position model. The record is from RNAcentral. Lineage: Archaea; Methanobacteriati; Thermoplasmatota; Thermoplasmata.
CGUCUGGUGAAUGGUUAGGCUCGGGCGCUGAUGAAGGGCGUGCCAAGCUGCGAUAUGCCUCGGGUAGGCGCAAGGAGCCUUUGAUCCGAGGAUUCCCGAAUAGGACAUCCUGCUACGGUAAACCCGUAGCGAUUGCAUCUGCAAUCGGGAACGCGGGGGAUUGAAGCAUCUUAGUACCCGCAGGAAAAGAAAGCAAAAGCGAUGCCGUAAGUAACGGCGAGUGAAAACGGCACAGGGCAAACCGAAUCCUUUGCCGAAAGGCAGGGGAGAUGUGGUGUUUGGACUCCGGUACUUCCAAAUGACGAACCUGAAGUUGGCUGGAAAGCCACACCAUAGAGGGUGAUAGUCCCGUAAGGGUAAAUCAGGAGGAAGAGUCUGGAUGUUCCAGAGUAGCGCGGGUUGGAUAUCUCGCGUGAAGGUGGGAGGCAUAAACUCCCAACCCUAAAUACGCCCCGAGACCGAUAGCGAACUAGUAGGGUGACCAAAAACUGAAAAGUACCCCGAAGAGGGAGGUGAAAAGAGCCUGAAACCAGGCGGUUACAGGCAUGCAGGGCGUGAAAGGCGUAAGCCAGCGUUCUGCUAUACGUUUCGAAAAAUGGGCCAGGGAGUUCUUUGUAAUGGCGAGGUUAAGGUGGCAACACCGUAACCGUAGCGAAAGCGAGUGCCCGCAGUCUUCGGACAAGGGGCAAGGUGUGCUCGCCUCAAGUCAUUGCGAAGAGACCCGAAACCGGUCGAUCUAUGCGUGGCCAGGUUGAAGCCUUCCGAAAGGGGGGUGGAGGACCGAUCCAGUGCUGAUGUGCAAAUCGCUUGGUUGAGCUGCGUAUAGGGGUGAAAGGCCAAUCUAGACCGGAGAUAGCUGGUUCCCCCCGAAACUUCCCUCAGGAAGUCCUCCGACGAGGUGGGUGGUGCGGUAGAGCACUGAUUGGGUGUUUAGGGGGCGAAAGCCCUCGGCAUCCUGUCAAACUCCGAAUGUGCCACCGCCGUAGACUCGGGGAGUUCGGUCAUCUGGCGUAAGGUUGAUGUCCGAAAGGGAAAGAACCCGGCCUCAUGUUAAGGUCCCUAAGUAUCGGCUAAGUGUGACCUAAAGGCAGUCCACAUCCUAAAACAGCCGGGAGGUAGGCUUAGAAGCAGCCAUCCUUUAAAGAGUGCGUAACAGCUCACCGGUCGAGGGUGUGGGCCCCGAAAAUGGACGGGACUCAAGCCGGUCACCGAUACAUGAGUACUCUGUCAAGAGUAAGUAGGGGGGCGCGGUGUAUGGACAGAAGCUGGGGUGUGAACUCCAGUGGACCGUGCACCGACGAGAAUCCUGGUGAAAGUAGCAGCAAAGUCGGGUGAGAAUCCCGACCGCCGAAGGGGCCAGGGUUCCACGGCAAUGUUCAUCAGCCGUGGGUUAGCCGAUCCUAAGGGCUACCCUAACUGGAGUAGCUCGAAUGGGAAGCAGGUUAAUAUUCCUGCGCCAUCACAGGUUGCCGUCCACGUGUGACGCAUCUGGAUAGGCCGAGUAGCGCCGUCGCGCUAUUCAAGCGUUGAAAUCCUUGGAGUGCCGUAAUGGCGAGAAGGGGAUGAAUGCGUGAUGAGGCUCCCAAUUGAGGGGGCUUUGGCUCAUUCCAGGUGCCCGUGAAAAGCAUGUGGAUAUGGCCUGUGGUGUUCGUACCGAGAACUGACACAGGUGCCCCUGGGUGAGAAGCCCAAGGCGUAUCGGAUUAAUCCAUCCGAGGGAAUUCGGCAAACUAGCCCCGUAACUUUGGGAGAAGGGGUGCCUGCUCCGCGAAAGAGCAGGUCGCAGUGACUAGGGGGCUCCGACUGUUUAAUAAAAACAUAGGCGGCAGCAAGCCCGAA